This 107-nucleotide small RNA is filed under the name Marmota monax (woodchuck). The record is from RNAcentral. Lineage: Eukaryota; Metazoa; Chordata; Mammalia; Rodentia; Sciuridae.
GCUGGGUGCAGUGGAGCAUGCCUGUAAUCCCAGUGAUUCAGGAGGCUAAGGCAGGGGAUCACGAGUUCAAGGGUGGCCUCAGAAAACUUAGUGAGAGCCUGUCUUAA